AAAACUGAGGUGGUAUACGAUGGUUCCGCGUCUGAUUAGCUAGUUGGUGGGGUAAUGGCCUACCAAGGCAACGAUCAGUAGCCGGCCUGAGAGGGUGAACGGCCACAUUGGGACUGAGACACGGCCCAAACUCCUACGGGAGGCAGCAGUGGGGAAUAUUGCACAAUGGGGGAAACCCUGAUGCAGCGACGCCGCGUGAGUGAAGAAGUAUUUCGGUAUGUAAAGCUCUAUCAGCAGGGAAGAAAAACCGACCAUAGGGUCGCUAGACGGUACCUGAUUAAGAAGCCCCGGCUAACUACGUGCCAGCAGCCGCGGUAAUACGUAGGGGGCAAGCGUUAUCCGGAUUUACUGGGUGUAAAGGGAGCGUAGACGGCAGCGCAAGUCUGAAGUGAAAUGCCGGGGCUUAACCCCGGAACUGCUUUGGAAACUGAGCAGCUAGAGUGCAGGAGAGGUAAGUGGAAUUCCUAGUGUAGCGGUGAAAUGCGUAGAUAUUAGGAGGAACACCAGUGGCGAAGGCGGCUUACUGGACUGUAACUGACGUUGAGGCUCGAAAGCGUGGGGAGCAAACAGGAUUAGAUACCCUGGUAGUCCACGCGGUAAACGAUGAUUACUAGGUGUUGGGGGACCAAGGUCCUUCG
Molecule: ribosomal RNA, 638 nt
Filed under: uncultured bacterium
Lineage: Bacteria
Description: bacterial SSU rRNA
Rfam family: Bacterial small subunit ribosomal RNA
Source: RNAcentral